CCUAUUUAAUCUGGAGGCUCCGGCUCUCUCGGUCCUUUCACCGACUCGCUGUGUUCACACCAGACGUCCAGAAAAAGAGAAGUCAUGUCCAAUAAAUAUAAUGCAACACAACCGCAAUGGUUUGAUCAUCUGGACCAACAGAGUCUGUUGGGAUCAGAUGCCAUUUGGCAGACACCUGUAUGAGGAAGAUGUCUGAGCUUCUGCAGUCUCCCAGGGAUGACUGCUGUUGCAAACUACAAUCUGAGUAAAUGAGUCCUGACAGAGGAGCUCCAAUGAGAGGAUACUUGCCAUCUGCAUCAAGUCAUGGGAAAAUUCUCAAGGUUUAAGCUUUGGGAGAUGAAACUGAUGUUGCAGCCGCUGUAACUCAAUUGAGAUUUCAGUCUUCGUCCAAAUCGAUACUUUGCAGGUAUUGAGCAAGACUCUAAACACCGGAUGGAGAUCACACCAGGGGAACAUUUGUCAUGAUGCUAAACAAAUGUGGACUUUAAUGUUUCUAUUUGUCUUUAGUUAGUCUGAAUACAUCCAGGCCGUAUGAAUCAGUUGGCUGUACAUGAAAUGUGACAAUUGUUUCUAAAUAAAGAUUCAACUACACCUGAAA
This is a long non-coding RNA of Cottoperca gobio, 598 nucleotides long. RefSeq lists it as uncharacterized. NCBI's taxonomy places the organism in Eukaryota, Metazoa, Chordata, Actinopteri, Perciformes, Bovichtidae. The record is from RefSeq and is a predicted model, not a curated record. The transcript is spliced from 4 exons.